AUGAUACUCCCUCCGUCCAACAAAAGAUGUCUCAAUUUUGACUAAAUUUGAAUGCAUCUAUACGUCAAAUUUAGUCAAAAUUGAGACAUCCUUUGUUGGACGGGGGAAGUACUUU
Non-coding RNA from Brachypodium distachyon (stiff brome), 115 nucleotides. NCBI's taxonomy places the organism in Eukaryota, Viridiplantae, Streptophyta, Magnoliopsida, Poales, Poaceae. The record is from Rfam.